CUGUAGCUCAGAUGGAAGAGCGCCGGGUUGUGGCUCCGGUGACCAAGGGUUCGAUUCCCUUCAG
RNAcentral lists this transfer RNA (64 nucleotides) under pig gut metagenome. It matches the Rfam family "tRNA", at positions 5 to 66 of the family's 71-position model. From Rfam's summary of the family: Transfer RNA (tRNA) molecules are approximately 80 nucleotides in length. The record is from RNAcentral.